RNAcentral lists this ribosomal RNA (500 nucleotides) under uncultured bacterium. RNAcentral's name for it is "partial 16S ribosomal RNA". It matches the Rfam family "Bacterial small subunit ribosomal RNA", at positions 28 to 523 of the family's 1533-position model. The record is from RNAcentral.
GACGAACGCUGGCGGCGUGCUUAACACAUGCAAGUCGAACGGGAAUGUUUCGCUGAUGCGAUUUCGGUCAAAUCUUGAAGCAUUUUAGUGGCGGACGGGUGAGUAACGCGUGGGUAACCUGCCCUGUACAGGGGGACAACAGUUGGAAACGACUGCUAAUACCGCAUAAGCGCACAGCUUCGCAUGAAGCAGUGUGAAAAACUCCGGUGGUACAGGAUGGACCCGCGUCUGAUUAGAUAGUUGGUGAGGUAACGGCCCACCAAGUCAACGAUCAGUAGCCGGCCUGAGAGGGCGAACGGCCACAUUGGGACUGAGACACGGCCCAAACUCCUACGGGAGGCAGCAGUGGGGAACAUUGCACAAUGGAGGAAACCCUGAUGCAGCGACGCCGCGUGAGUGAAGAAGUAUUUCGGUAUGUAAAGCUCUAUCAGCAGGGAAGAAAACAAUGACGGUACCUGACUAAGAAGCCCCGGCUAACUACGUGCCAGCCGCCGCUGUAA